ACAAUGCUACUUCCGUCCAGCCACAGAUUCAAGCAAUGGUGCGGCUCGCAGAGAUCCUGGGAGAGGUGAAAUUCCUAUGG
Molecule: regulatory RNA element, 80 nt
Organism: Desulfosporosinus sp. I2
Lineage: Bacteria; Bacillati; Bacillota; Clostridia; Eubacteriales; Desulfitobacteriaceae
Rfam family: pemK RNA
Source: Rfam